AGAGUUUGAUCAUGGCUCAGAUUGAACGCUGGCGGCGUGCCUAACACAUGCAAGUCGAGCGGUAACAGGUGUAGCAAUACAUGCUGACGAGCGGCGGACGGGUGAGCAAUAUUUGGGAAUCUGCCUAUUAGUGGGGGACAACCCGGGGAAACUCGGGCUAAUACCGCAUACGCUCUACGGAGGAAAGCCGGGGACCGCAAGGCCUGGCGCUAGUAGAUGAGCCCAAAUCGGAUUAGCUAGUUGGUGAGGUAACGGCUCACCAAGGCGACGAUCCGUAGCUGGUCUGAGAGGACGACCAGCCACACCGGAACUGAGACACGGUCCGGACUCCUACGGGAGGCAGCAGUGGGGAAUAUUGGACAAUGGGCGAAAGCCUGAUCCAGCGACGCCGCGUGGGUGAAGAAGGCCUGCGGGUUGUAAAGCCCUUUCGGUGGGGACGAAAAGCCUCGACCUAACACGUCGGGGUCUUGACUUAACCCAAGAAAGAAGCACCGCUAACUCUGUGCCAGCAGCCGCGGUAAUACAGAGGGUGCGAGCGUUAAUCGGAAUUACUGGGCGUAAAGCGCACGUAGGUGGCUUGGCAAGUCGGAUGUGAAAUCCCCGGGCUUAACCUGGAACUGCAUUCGAGACUGCUUUGCUAGAGUAUGGGAGAGGGAAGUGGAAUUUCCGGUGUAGCGGUGAAAUGCGUAGAUAUCGGAAGGAACAUCAGUGGCGAAGGCGACUUCCUGGACCAAUACUGACACUCAAGUGCGAAAGCGUGGGGAGCAAACAGGAUUAGAUACCCUGGUAGUCCACGCCAUAAACGAUGAGAACUGGAUGUCGGGAGGGUCUGCCUCUCGGUGUCGUAGCUAACGCGUUAAGUUCUCCGCCUGGGGAGUACGGCCGCAAGGUUGAAACUCAAAUGAAUUGACGGGGACCCGCACAAGCGGUGGAGCAUGUGGUUUAAUUCGAUGCAACGCGAAGAACCUUACCUGGUCUUGACAUCCUAGGAAUCCCGCAGAGAUGUGGGAGUGCCUUCGGAAACCUGGAGACAGGUGCUGCAUGGCUGUCGUCAGCUCGUGUCGUGAGAUGUUGGGUUAAGUCCCGCAACGAGCGCAACCCUUGCCCUUAGUUGCCAGCAUUUAGUUGGGAACUCUAAGGGGACCGCCGGUGACAAACCGGAGGAAGGUGGGGAUGACGUCAAGUCAUCAUGGCCCUUAUGACCAGGGCUACACACGUGCUACAAUGGUCGGUACAGAGGGUUGCCAAAACCGCGAGGUGGAGCCAAUCCCAGAAAGCCGAUCGUAGUCCGGAUCGCAGUCUGCAACUCGACUGCGUGAAGUCGGAAUCGCUAGUAAUCGCGAAUCAGCGAUGUCU
RNAcentral lists this ribosomal RNA (1356 nucleotides) under metagenome. RNAcentral's name for it is "bacterial SSU rRNA". It matches the Rfam family "Bacterial small subunit ribosomal RNA", at positions 8 to 1359 of the family's 1533-position model. The record is from RNAcentral.